AGAUCAAUACCUGCACCCACCAGCUGAAUCAAUGUUACUUUGGAAUAGCAAAAUUCUUGGUCUAAGGUGAACCAAACAUAUCUUACAUGUGUUACAUGUAAUAUGGGUUCCUAAGCUUAUAUUUGGUGCCACUGAGUGCCCAACGACACAGCUGAUUUUGUACUUGGAGAACUAUUGUUUGGCCGGCUUCUCUUUCUGGGUGAGAGUGUGGAGUAUGCAAGAGCUUACACCCAAGAAAUGGUGCUGAAACAUUUUUUGCAGUUGCUUUCAUGCUUCAAAGAUUCUGGAAGUAGGGCCAGAAGUUAAAGUGAUUGCUGGUCAUCCUUUGCCUUCUGACAUAUCGUUGAGUUCAGAUUCCUCCAUUGAAUUGCAAAAGGUUUUGAAGACAAAAAUGGAUUGGACUAAGCCCCCACCACCAACCUGCUGAUGUAUGUGACCAACAGACAAGCAUAUGCUCCCAAUUACAAAGCAUGGUUUCUGCAAAAACCCAGGUGCUACACUGCUACUUGC
Long non-coding RNA from Gastrolobium bilobum, 510 nucleotides. RefSeq lists it as uncharacterized. Lineage: Eukaryota; Viridiplantae; Streptophyta; Magnoliopsida; Fabales; Fabaceae. The transcript is spliced from 4 exons. The record is from RefSeq and is a predicted model, not a curated record.